Molecule: ribosomal RNA, 323 nt
Filed under: uncultured fungus
Lineage: Eukaryota; Fungi
Description: eukaryotic LSU rRNA
Rfam family: 5.8S ribosomal RNA (bases 1-71)
Source: RNAcentral
GUGAGUCAUCGAGUCUUUGAACGCACCUUGCGCUCGUUGGUAUUCCGACGAGCAUGCCUGUUUGAGUGUCAUUAAAUUCUCAACCUCACCACUUUUGUAAUGAGAGUGUGUGUUGGCUUGGAUGUGGGGGUUUGCAGGUCCACUCUUUUGUGGUCUGCUCCUCUGAAAUGUAUUAGUGGGUUUGGUCCCCUAAUCUAUUGGUGUGAUAAUUAUCUACGCCGUGGAUUGGAAGACUAUUAUGAACCUGCUUCUAACCGUCCCUUACACGGACAAUACUUGACAUUUUUGACCUCAAAUCAGGUAAGACUACCCGCUGAACUUAA